GCAGGAAUCUGAUACAGGGCUCGAAUAAAAGGAUCUUGGCGGAAGUCCCUCAGGGAGAUUGGAGAUUCCCAGUUUAGUGGGAGUCAAGGCAUGGGUAAGGACUCAUCAGGUCUGUGUCUUGGGCUUGGAGGGGCACCCCAGGCCCGAGAUGGAGCGUUGCGCGUCCCAGCCUGCGCCUCGAGUGCCAAGGAGACUCCUAGGACCAGACUGUGUUCCCACCUUGACUCACCGCGGCUCUGCACCGGUUGGGUAUUCUCACCAUAGCAGGUGUGGACUCUGAGGCUCAGAAAGCUUAUGUGGCUUCCACUCCUCCGAUCCAGUCUCCACUCAGCAGCCAAAGUGAUCUUUUAAAAUAUAUCUCAUCUUUUUCUCUGUGUAUUACUCUUAAGGAAAAAAAUGUUUUGUUUUGUUUUGUUUUUAAAGUAUGCUGCUAAGUCACUCCUCUGUAUGAAACUGCCUCUUGGUUUUCCAUUGUGUUUAGAAUAAUAUCUGAGCUCUUUUUGACUAAGGCCUACAAAGCUGUGAAUGAUCUGUUCCCUGCCUACAUCUUCAAUCUCCUCAAGCCCCCUCUGCCCCUCUUUCACCUACCCAGCCACGCAGGCCAAACUCAUUGUCACCUCAGGGCCUUUGCACAUGCUGUUCCCUAUGCCUAGAAAGCACUUAACCUUGCUCUUUCACAACUGGGGCCUUUCACCAUCUGCAUCCCUGCUGGAAAGUCAGGUGUCAGAGAUGCCAUCCGUGAUGAUGCAACCUAAAGUCAGUAUCACAUUACACGGCACUUAUCCGAGGGUAACUUAUGUUACACUGUUUUAUUCACCAGCCUGUCCACGGUGCCCAGAACAGUGUUUAGCCCUGAGUAGAUGCUCGUUAAAUAUUUGUGGAUGAAAUGAAUGAACGCUUUGCCCAAAUCCCCAGUGCUUACAGGUGGUAGAACUGGGGUUGGAACCCAAGCUCCCCUGGUUCCCGGGAUGCUCGUCCCCCACCCACCACACUUCAUUGUAUGACCUCAUAGGCAGAGUUGACUCUUUCCUCCUCCUCGGUUUGUGACGCGUCACCACUGUAAACAAGGCCCCUCUCGGUGUGCUCAGGCAGCUUCCUUGAAUCCUGUCUGGUUCUCUUCUAUACAUGGCUUGGCUCCUAUAUGGAUGCUUGAAAUUUACAAACAUGCUGUCGUGUAUAAGACUCAUCCUGUUUACGGUUUUACACUCAACACUAAUGUUUUCCACAUGCAUCUCAUUUGUUACUUCUGCUAGUUACAUGUAAUAUGCCACGUUGAGCAUCCAGUACUCUUAGUAUCCCCCACACCCUUCAGUGAUGCACCCCUUAGCUUGGCCUCAGUGCCCCUGUCACAUACGUCACUGCUGCGAACACCUAUCUUCAACUGUCUCCUUAUGGACUGUGGGAGAAUUCUCCUCGAAGUAGGACUUCCAGGCCACAGGGUACACGCACCCUCGGCUUCCCAAAGCACCGACGGUGCUCUCCUGGGUGGCUGUUGGAACUUCCACACUUACCGCGAGGGUUCUGGUUUUCCGUUAGCACUUGGCUUUCCAGUUUUCUGAUGCUUGCUAAUCUGACGCAUCUGAAGUGGUUCCUAACUUCCAUCUGGGUUCUCUGAUGACUAGGGAAUUUGAAUAGCUCUUCAUGCACUUGGCAGUCAUGGUGGUUCCCUCUUCCGUGAAUUGUCUCUUUGGGGAGCCUUUGUCUAUCUUUUCUGUUGGGUUUCUAGCCUUCUUUCUACUGAUUUGCAUGUCUACACACAGCUAAGCAUCCGUGCUUUGGUGUUGCACAUAUCUCUUCUCUUUGUCUCCUUACUUUGACCGAGUUUCCCUUCGUUAACAAUGCUCGGAGUCCUGGGGUGGAGUGCAGGCUUGGGCCCACGUCCCACGGGGGCGUUCUCCGUGAGCGCCGCCUUGGCUCCCGCCGGACCCCCCACCGAUGGAUGAUGGGGGCUCUGGAUGCCAGCACUGCCCUGGAGUGGCUCCGGGAUGGGCCUGCUACUUCCUCUCCCACACCCCAGCACUCUCGCUCAAAGACCUGCAGGGGAUGCCCCCAAGAACCCUCCCCCAGACUCAGGUGAGAAACCUGCUGAAAUGGAAUACUGAGUUCAAAGACCCUCCGCUGCAGGCCUCCCCAGCAUGGUUUCAGCCCUAACUGCGUCGCCAGCUUGCAAAACAAGCUUGCCUUGGCUGUUUUGGCUGCCCCGUACCCCCGCCCAUCGCAACCUGUGCCUUUUUCAAAUGAGGCUGCCAGGGGAUCCACACCCCUGCCACCCUCCACGUGAAUUCCAGUUCUCUCCACAUUUCUAUUUGAGGACUUCUCUAAAGCCAGUGGUGUCAAAGGACAAGGUCCUAAGACUUUCCACGAACAGCUAACCCUUCUAUGUCUCCCGCUUUCUCAUCCUUCUACUUCUGCUUUUUGCGUUGCAGAGCCCCUCCUACAAGCAUGAGAAGAAAAGAAAGAAAAGUGAAAGAAAGAAAAAAGAGAGAGAGAAAUACCACUGGCCCAGGGUAGAGAUGCUCACGGACAGGUUCCUGGCGGACCCAGAGUGAGGACGGCUGCUCAGAACCCGUGUCUCCAGUCGCAUUGGAAACGCCCCGGCAGCAACACGCAGGAGGAAGCGACCACAGCAAACCCUUGCCUCCUACGGACACUGGCACAAACAGGCAAAUCCCCCAAGGAUGGAUUGGGUCCACGGGAUGCGGACUAGGUUAUAGGAAAGUGGUGCUAAAUAUCUCACUGUGUUCCCAGCUUCCAUUGAGGGCAGGACCAGACCAGAAACUGUGUAAACUUCCAAGAACGUGGCCUUGCUUGGCGUGUUCACGAGUUGUUUGACCCAUGAUAUACAUGGGACUAAACCCUUGACUCAUGAUUUUCUACAGCAUAUCACUAAUCAGCAAAAUAAAGAACAAGAGUUUUCAGGCCA
Long non-coding RNA from Leopardus geoffroyi (Geoffroy's cat), 2923 nucleotides. RefSeq lists it as uncharacterized. The transcript has 2 exons. The record is from RefSeq and is a predicted model, not a curated record. NCBI's taxonomy places the organism in Eukaryota, Metazoa, Chordata, Mammalia, Carnivora, Felidae.